RNAcentral lists this non-coding RNA (29 nucleotides) under Rattus norvegicus (Norway rat). Lineage: Eukaryota; Metazoa; Chordata; Mammalia; Rodentia; Muridae. The record is from RNAcentral.
UUCAUAGUGUGAGGUGGGAGAAAUCACCA